UGAAAAAUGGUUUGAUUCACAGCUUUAUAAUAUUUUUCCAGCUUGAAAAAUGGUUUCUUUGUCCAGGAAUUAUUUAGGUCUUUUGGUCCUUCAUGAAAAGUUUCUUUUAUUAUAUUUGUAGCAUCUGUAUUUUUCCUACAGAGAUACUUUUUUAAGUGAUAUUUUCUAGUUGGUUAUGGAUGCCUUAUUGGAAUGUGUACCCUUCUUUCUCUCCUUCAACUUUGACUCAGAUCUGACAUACUGUCAACCAAGAGUCCCUUCCUGAAUUCUCAAUUGGGUUCAAACUCUGUGUUCUUCCAGCACAAUCCCACUUUGCAUUGAAAUUUUUUUUGUUUAUGUUUGUCUCUCUCUCUCUUCCAAAGGAGUCUAAUUACUUAUUCAACACUUAUAUAUUCCUACUGUUAAGAUGGUGUCCAAAAAAUAAUAGAUGUGUGCAACUCAUGGUUUGUUGAAUUGUGGCAUAGAUUUUUAUGUUACUGUAAUAAAAGCCAAUGUAUAAUUU
This is a long non-coding RNA of Pipistrellus kuhlii (Kuhl's pipistrelle), 502 nucleotides long. RefSeq lists it as uncharacterized. Lineage: Eukaryota; Metazoa; Chordata; Mammalia; Chiroptera; Vespertilionidae. The transcript is spliced from 3 exons. The record is from RefSeq and is a predicted model, not a curated record.